Molecule: non-coding RNA, 891 nt
Organism: Phoenix dactylifera (date palm)
Lineage: Eukaryota; Viridiplantae; Streptophyta; Magnoliopsida; Arecales; Arecaceae
Source: RefSeq, a predicted model, not a curated record
CUUUUUCUUCUCCUCCUCUUCUCUUCUCCCGAUUUCUCCUUCCCCCUUUCUUCCCAUUUCUUCUCCCAUGGAGGGAGAAGGGCGAGCUCGGGAGAAACGGCAACGGCCGACGGCGCCCGGCGGCCGGCUUGCGGUGCCCACGGUCGCGCCCGCGGCCGUGCCUGCGGUCGUGCCCGUGGCCAUGCCCAAGGCCGCUUCGGCGGCCCGCGGCCGUGUCUGCGUCCCGCUGCCGGCGACCCGCGUCCCACGGCCGACAACCCGCGGCCCGUGGCCGAGGCCGGCGCCCGCGGUUACGGCUGCGGAUCACCCACUGAUUUCUUGUGCGCUUAAAAGAUUAUGUACGCAAUCGAGCCUAUCCUAAGAGAUCGAUUGCUGAAGGAUAUAUUGCUGAGGAGUGUUUGACAUUUUGUUCGAGAUAUCUUGAAGGUGUUGAAAUGGUUUUCAAUCGACCUCAAAAGAAUUGUGAUUUCAUAGAGAAUGCAGAUGUUUACAAGUUCUCAUCUGGUGGAAGAGUUUUGGAAAAAGUUGAAAGUGUUGUUCUUGAGCAGAAAUCGUUGGCACUGGCACAUCGCUAUAUCUUACUUCAUAGUGAUAUAAUAUCUAAGUCUCGCAGAAAAAUUUUUAAUAGCUCAGCGAAGUCUCAACCAUAACAUUCGUCCUACACCAAGGAUUGAGCAACGAUGGUACCAAUGAUGAUGGAGAGAAAUUGUUCCAAGGAGUUAAUAGUCAUUACUCGAGGUCCGAAUAAUAUUGUCAACAGAUAUGGUGGGUUCAUUAUAAAUGGUUUUAAAUUUCAUAUUAAAGAGCGUGAGAAAUUUAGAAAAAUCCAAAAUAGUGGGGUUAUGGUUGAGACGGAUGGAAAAAAUUAUUACGGUGCUCUAACAGAUAUUU